RNAcentral lists this ribosomal RNA (253 nucleotides) under uncultured bacterium. RNAcentral describes it as "partial 16S ribosomal RNA". It matches the Rfam family "Bacterial small subunit ribosomal RNA", at positions 524 to 776 of the family's 1533-position model. The record is from RNAcentral.
GACAGAGGAGCCAAGCGUUGUCCGGACUGACUGGGCGUAAAGCGCCCGCAGGCGGCCGUGCACGUGGGGUGUGAAAGCUCGCGGCUUAACUGCGAGAGGCCAUCCCAUACGGCGCGGCUCGAGCCGUCCAGAGGCCGGUGGAAUUGCCGGUGUAGUGGUGAAAUGCGCAGAUAUCAGGAGGAACACCGGUGGCGAAGGCGGAUCUCUGGGCCUUACCUGACGCUGAGGAGCGAAAGCAUGGGGAGCAAACAGG